Molecule: ribosomal RNA, 492 nt
Filed under: uncultured bacterium
Lineage: Bacteria
Description: partial 16S ribosomal RNA
Rfam family: Bacterial small subunit ribosomal RNA
Source: RNAcentral
AGUGAACGCUGGCGGUAGGCCUAACACAUGCAAGUCGAACGGCAGCACAGUAAGAGCUUGCCCUUACGGGUGGCGAGUGGCGGACGGGUGAGGAAUACAUCGGAAUCUACUUUUUCGUGGGGGAUAACGUAGGGAAACUUACGCUAAUACCGCAUACGACCUACGGGUGAAAGCAGGGGAUCUUCGGACCUUGCGCGAUUGAAUGAGCCGAUGUCGGAUUAGCUAGUUGGCGGGGUAAAGGCCCACCAAGGCGACGAUCCGUAGCUGGUCUGAGAGGAUGAACAGCCACAGUGGAAGUGAGACACGGUCCAGACUCCUACGGGAGGCAGCGGUGGGGAAUAUUGGACAAUGGGCGCAAGCCUGAUCAAGCCAUACCGCGUGGGUGAAGAAGGCCUUCGGGUUGUAAAGCCGUUUUGUUGGGAAAGAAAAGCAGCAGGUUAAUACCCCGCUGUUCUGACGGUACCCAAAGAAUAAGCACCGGCUAACUUCGUG